GGCGUCUUUCGCCACCUGGUGGACAAGAUGCUCAACUGCAAGAAUAUGAAUGAGUUCAUUGUUUGGUUUCCCUGGAUAAAUGAUUUAUUCUUAUAGUGACACAGAUAGCUAGAAAGAAACGUGCCACGUUCAAAGACCAUUGUUUGCUACACGGCUAUAGUCUGAGUUUUAGAAAAACUGAGGUCAUGAGGUCAAACACAAACCAGUGAAACCCUCCCAACACUAACUGUGGCUCUGGGGACAGCAUAGUUUAACUAACACGACAUGAAUUCUAAUGACUUAUGUGAUCCCUCGACUUGAGUAACCUCCUGCACCCACAUAAGUUUUUAAACUAAAGUAUUUCAACAAAGACUGACUGUGUGUUUCUCCUAGUGGAGAAGUUAAAAACCGGCCCCUGCUCGGUGAUGAAUGGCCACGAUCUGUUUGAAGGCCUGUUGGGGACAGUUUGGUUUUCUGGUCCGACUCCUGCAGCCGAGCAGACCGGGGUCCUCUCUGUUUAGUGUCUUUGCGGGAGUGGAGCCUGGCUUACUGCUGCUUUGUUCACUGACCUUAAAAGACACACUCGCUCCCCUCGCGCUAGACCCCAAGAGCUGGACUGAAGAAGAAGCACAAAGAACCGAGAUGGAAACUGUGAUCGGGUGAUUUGACACAGCAGAAAGAAGAAGAAAACAUCAUCUCAUCUUGGGAUGUGUCCACCAUGUCCCAGUUUAAAAGGUCACAGACCUUCUGUUCACGCACUCAAACGAUUAUUUAAGUUUUCCCAACAAUUUCUUG
Molecule: long non-coding RNA, 774 nt
Organism: Gasterosteus aculeatus aculeatus (three-spined stickleback)
Lineage: Eukaryota; Metazoa; Chordata; Actinopteri; Perciformes; Gasterosteidae
Source: Ensembl